Molecule: transfer RNA, 18 nt
Filed under: Sylvicapra grimmia (bush duiker)
Lineage: Eukaryota; Metazoa; Chordata; Mammalia; Artiodactyla; Bovidae
Description: partial tRNA-Phe
Source: RNAcentral
GUUAAUGUAGCUUAAGAU